GAUGAACGCUGGCGGCGUGCCUAAUACAUGCAAGUCGAGCGAACGGACGAGAAGCUUGCUUCUCUGAUGUUAGCGGCGGACGGGUGAGUAACACGUGGAUAACCUACCUAUAAGACUGGGAUAACUUCGGGAAACCGGAGCUAAUACCGGAUAAUAUUUUGAACCGCAUGGUUCAAAAGUGAAAGACGGUCUUGCUGUCACUUAUAGAUGGAUCCGCGCUGCAUUAGCUAGUUGGUAAGGUAACGGCUUACCAAGGCAACGAUGCAUAGCCGACCUGAGAGGGUGAUCGGCCACACUGGAACUGAGACACGGUCCAGACUCCUACGGGAGGCAGCAGUAGGGAAUCUUCCGCAAUGGGCGAAAGCCUGACGGAGCAACGCCGCGUGAGUGAUGAAGGUCUUCGGAUCGUAAAACUCUGUUAUUAGGGAAGAACAUAUGUGUAAGUAACUGUGCACAUCUUGACGGUACCUAAUCAGAAAGCCACGGCUAACUACGUGCCAGCAGCCGCGGUAAUACGUAGGUGGCAAGCGUUAUCCGGAAUUAUUGGGCGUAAAGCGCGCGUAGGCAGUUUUUUAAGUCUGAUGUGAAAGCCCACGGCUCAACCGUGGAGGGUCAUUGGAAACUGGAAAACUUGAGUGCAGAAGAGGAAAGUGGAAUUCCAUGUGUAGCGGUGAAAUGCGCAGAGAUAUGGAGGAACACCAGUGGCGAAGGCGACUUUCUGGUCUGUAACUGACGCUGAUGUGCGAAAGCGUGGGGAUCAAACAGGAUUAGAUACCCUGGUAGUCCACGCCGUAAACGAUGAGUGCUAAGUGUUAGGGGGUUUCCGCCCCUUAGUGCUGCAGCUAACGCAUUAAGCACUCCGCCUGGGGAGUACGACCGCAAGGUUGAAACUCAAAGGAAUUGACGGGGACCCGCACAAGCGGUGGAGCAUGUGGUUUAAUUCGAAGCAACGCGAAGAACCUUACCAAAUCUUGACAUCCUUUGACAACUCUAGAGAUAGAGCUUUCCCCUUCGGGGGACAAAGUGACAGGUGGUGCAUGGUUGUCGUCAGCUCGUGUCGUGAGAUGUUGGGUUAAGUCCCGCAACGAGCGCAACCCUUAAGCUUAGUUGCCAUCAUUAAGUUGGGCACUCUAAGUUGACUGCCGGUGACAAACCGGAGGAAGGUGGGGAUGACGUCAAAUCAUCAUGCCCCUUAUGAUUUGGGCUACACACGUGCUACAAUGGACAAUACAAAGGGCAGCGAAACCGUGAGGUCAAGCAAAUCCCAUAAAGUUGUUCUCAGUUCGGAUUGUAGUCUGCAACUCGACUACAUGAAGCUGGAAUCGCUAGUAAUCGUAGAUCAGCAUGCUACGGUGAAUACGUUCCCGGGUCU
RNAcentral lists this ribosomal RNA (1372 nucleotides) under uncultured bacterium. RNAcentral's name for it is "bacterial SSU rRNA". It matches the Rfam family "Bacterial small subunit ribosomal RNA", at positions 28 to 1381 of the family's 1533-position model. The record is from RNAcentral.